GGGCUGUCUCUGUGGCUGGUUCUGCGGCGUGCGGCCAGCCAUGGAGCGCUCUGGGCCCAGCGAAGUGACAGGCUCAGACGCAUCGGGACCGGACCCGCAGCUUGCGGUCACCAUGGGCUUCACGGGGUUCGGUAAAAAAGCUCGCACAUUUGACUUGGAAGCAAUGUUUGAACAAACUCGAAGAACAGCUGUGGAAAGAAGUUGCAAAACACUGGUGUUCUUCCAGACUUGGCAAUUAGAUUACAUUUAGACUGUGGAAUUAAAAGUGAUUCCCUGUGAGCUCUCCUAGCAAAUUAUGAAAUUGAAGAGAGAGAGAACGGGUUGCGGGAACCCUAGUUUCCUACCGCCACCAGGAACACACCUGUAGCCCAGCAAAGUUGAGGCCAUCAACUGGCUCAUCACAACAAGGAAGGCUGUGCACCACUGGGACCCAGCAGCAGCUCAGCAGCAGCAGUGAAAGGGCCUUGGGAAAGACUCGGAGGGUUUGGCUUAUACAAGGCCAGAUUACAGAGGGGUAUUGAUUUGCCUUGCCCCCGCCCCCACCAUCACAGUGUGUCCCUGUCCAGUGUUGGUGCUGUGUGGCAUUGGCUUGUGUCCAUAGGAGUCCAUCAAGGCAGAGCGGCAGAGUGGGAAGGCAGGUCAGCUUCCAGCUCUUCCAGGCUGCAUGUCCCACUCAAUAUCCUUUCAACCCAAUGGAAAUGGAUUGAAAGAGUGAAAGUCACUGGUCUCAAAGAAUCUACGGAAUUUAGCAUUUUGAAAAUCACAUAGCAAUUUUGGGUAGGUAUUCACCUGCACUAAAAAACCAGGCAAACAUCCGACUCCCAGGAUAAAGUGACUGAGAGCAGUAGAAGACUUGUUGAGCCUUAAGGAAUAAGAGGAAAAUUACGUUAUGAAGUGCAGGAACAGCACAGACCCAGACGAGGGGACGCAGCCCGGAGCCAGUAACCCGGCGCCACCUCCUCCCCAGGGCGCAGCGCUGGCUGAUCCCCAGAUACCGUGAUCACACGUCCCGGGUCCUGAGAGCGCCUCAUAGGUAGACAGUUCUUUGGGACUUCUGGGAUGCAGCACUUGAAGAGAGGUUUACCUAAACUUUCCUCCUGGGAGCCUGUGAUCAUUUGAAAGUAACAGAAGAAAGUUGUCAGGCUGAGGAAAGUUUCAACAGGCACUUGGUGAGAAUGGGAAGCAUCCAUUCAUUGUGAAAUCGCGGGGACAGAGGAGGAAUUCACGGGAUCAGAGCACUGAGAAACUCCAGAGGCUUCUGGUUCACCGCCCUGAUUCCACAGAUGUGGGUCAGAGGCAGAGAUGGAAGUUGGAAUGGACAAGCCUGCCCUCUCCUUGGCUCUCCAUGGCUCUGUCCUCAGGCUGUUUCUGCAAUUUGACAUGAGGCCUGGCCCCAGGGAAACCAGUGGGGCCUCAUCUCCUCCCUGUGCUGCUCUGAGGUGGAGCCUUCUCAGGGUCAGUCCAGCUCUGGAGCCCCUCUCCAGCUCGGUCACCAAAGCUGUCUGGUCCCAGGGCGGUGCUGAGUGACAGGCAUGCCAGCCAAUCCAAUCGGCAAUUUCAUAUCCAAUGCAUGUGACUGAUAAAGAGAUAACGCCCUGUCUCCAAGACACAGGCUUUACAUAAACAGCUUUAAUGACUUCUUCACUUAGAGACAAGACUCCUUAGUGGUGGAACCUCAGGCAUCCGUGCAGGACGUAAGAAAGCUGCCGUAUAUACAUGAACUGAGAAGUGUGUAGAAGAAUAAAUACUGUAAUAGGUAAUAAAAUGUAUGUAUUUUUAUUUAUGUGCUA
This is a long non-coding RNA of Homo sapiens (human), 1790 nucleotides long. Ensembl annotates it as GUSB pseudogene 1. Its record names the gene GUSBP1. NCBI's taxonomy places the organism in Eukaryota, Metazoa, Chordata, Mammalia, Primates, Hominidae. The record is from Ensembl.